AUUUUAGUUUUUAUUUUAUUUUUUAUUUUUUUAAAAAAAAUUUAUUCCAAUCUGUUCUGGUUUAUAUACCCAAGUGUUUGUUAUAAAUAAUAACUCAUCAUAAAUGGUCUAGUGGAGAGAGGGCAGUUUCAUGGUCUUUAGUGGAGUGGGUUCAAUACCCAUAUAUAGCAUUUUAUUUCUUUUAGCAUUCAUUUUUUUUCAUGUUUAUGUUUUAGUAUAAUUUCUCCCAUACUCAUAGUUUCAUUAUUAUUUAAUAACCCAAAUUUGGUUUCUUUUAAUUUCAUCAUCCAUUCAAAACCGCUUUAAACUAUUAGAAUCACACUUUUCUUGAUUCAAUGUCGAGCCCAUUUCCAUACCCUUGUAAGUCGAUUGCUUUUUAAGCAUCGCCAUCAAUCUCACAUAGUUUACUCUUGG
Molecule: long non-coding RNA, 414 nt
Filed under: Lathyrus oleraceus (garden pea)
Lineage: Eukaryota; Viridiplantae; Streptophyta; Magnoliopsida; Fabales; Fabaceae
Description: Pisum sativum (pea) long non-coding RNA (PSAT_LNC019454)
Source: RNAcentral